UACCUGCAGCUCAAGUGGUGACCGCUAUUAUUGGGCCUAAAACGUUCGUAGCCGGCUGAGUAAAUGCUUGGGUAAAUCGUGCCGCUUAACGGUACGAAUUCCGGGUAGACUGCUCAGCUUGAGACCGGGAGAAGCUAGAGGUACUCCUGGGGUAGAGGUGAAAUUCUGUAAUCCUGGGGGGACCACCAGUGGCGAAGGCGUCUAGCUAGAACGGGUCUGACGGUGAGGGACGAAACCCUGGGGCGCAAACCGGAUUAGAUACCCGGGUAGUCCAGGGCGCAAACGCUGCUUGCUUGAUGUUAGCUGGGCUCCGGGCUCAGCUAGUGUCGGAGAGAAGUUGUUAAGCAAGCUGCCUGGGAAGUACGAUCGCAAGAUUGAAACUUAAAGGAAUUGGCGGGGGAGCACAGCAACGGGUGGAGCGUGCGGUUU
This 429-nucleotide ribosomal RNA is filed under the name uncultured archaeon. RNAcentral describes it as "bacterial SSU rRNA". It matches the Rfam family "Archaeal small subunit ribosomal RNA", at positions 474 to 903 of the family's 1478-position model. The record is from RNAcentral.